AACGAACGCUGCGGCAGGCCUAACACAUGCAAGUCGAGCGCACCUUCGGGUGAGCGGCGGACGGGUUAGUAACGCGUGGGAACGUACCCUUUUCUACGGAAUAGCCUUUGGAAACGAAGAGUAAUACCGUAUACGCCCUUUGGGGGAAAGAUUUAUCGGAGAAGGAUCGGCCCGCGUUAGAUUAGAUAGUUGGUGGGGUAACGGCCUACCAAGUCUACGAUCUAUAGCUGGUUUUAGAGGAUGAUCAGCAACACUGGGACUGAGACACGGCCCAGACUCCUACGGGAGGCAGCAGUGGGGAAUCUUAGACAAUGGGCGCAAGCCUGAUCUAGCCAUGCCGCGUGAGUGAUGAAGGCCUUAGGGUCGUAAAGCUCUUUCGCCUGUGAUGAUAAUGACAGUAGCAGGUAAAGAAACCCCGGCUAACUCCGUGCCAGCAGCCGCGGUAAUACGGAGGGGGUUAGCGUUGUUCGGAAUUACUGGGCGUAAAGCGCACGUAGGCGGAUUGGAAAGUUGGGGGUGAAAUCCCGGGGCUCAACCCCGGAACUGCCUCCAAAACUAUCAGUCUAGAGUUCGAGAGAGGUGAGUGGAAUUCCAAGUGUAGAGGUGAAAUUCGUAGAUAUUUGGAGGAACACCAGUGGCGAAGGCGGCUCACUGGCUCGAUACUGACGCUGAG
RNAcentral lists this ribosomal RNA (673 nucleotides) under bacterium IMCC8645. Its description in RNAcentral is "bacterial SSU rRNA". It matches the Rfam family "Bacterial small subunit ribosomal RNA", at positions 28 to 750 of the family's 1533-position model. The record is from RNAcentral.